Molecule: ribosomal RNA, 253 nt
Filed under: uncultured bacterium
Lineage: Bacteria
Description: partial 16S ribosomal RNA
Rfam family: Bacterial small subunit ribosomal RNA
Source: RNAcentral
UACAGAGGUCUCAAGCGUUGUUCGGAUUCAUUGGGCGUAAAGGGUGCGUAGGCGGCGUGGUAAGUCGGUUGUGAAAUCUCGGAGCUUAACUCCGAAACUGCAUUCGAUACUGCCGUGCUUGAGGACUGGAGAGGAGACUGGAAUUUACGGUGUAGCAGUGAAAUGCGUAGAUAUCGAGAGGAACACCAGUUGCGAAGGCGAGUCCCUGGACAAAACCUGACACUGAGGCACGAAAGCUAGGGGAUCAAACAGG